CCUACGGGGGGCUGCAGUGGGGAAUAUUGGACAAUGGGGGCAACCCUGAUCCAGCCAUGCCGCGUGUGUGAAGAAGGCCCUUGGGUUGUAAAGCACUUUCAGUGAGGAAGAACGCCUGGUGGUUAAUACCCAUCAGGAAAGACAUCACUCACAGAAGAAGCACCGGCUAACUCCGUGCCAGCAGCCGCGGUAAUACGGAGGGUGCGAGCGUUAAUCGGAAUUACUGGGCGUAAAGCGCGCGUAGGUGGCUUGAUAAGCCGGUUGUGAAAGCCCCGGGCUCAACCUGGGAACGGCAUCCGGAACUGUCAAGCUAGAGUGCAGGAGAGGAAGGUAGAAUUCCCGGUGUAGCGGUGAAAUGCGUAGAGAUCGGGAGGAAUACCAGUGGCGAAGGCGGCCUUCUGGACUGACACUGACACUGAGGUGCGAAAGCGUGGGUAGCAAACAGGAUUAGAUACCCCGGUAGUC
RNAcentral lists this ribosomal RNA (465 nucleotides) under Vreelandella stevensii. RNAcentral's name for it is "partial 16S ribosomal RNA". It matches the Rfam family "Bacterial small subunit ribosomal RNA", at positions 338 to 795 of the family's 1533-position model. Lineage: Bacteria; Pseudomonadati; Pseudomonadota; Gammaproteobacteria; Oceanospirillales; Halomonadaceae. The record is from RNAcentral.